This 254-nucleotide ribosomal RNA is filed under the name uncultured bacterium. RNAcentral's name for it is "partial 16S ribosomal RNA". It matches the Rfam family "Bacterial small subunit ribosomal RNA", at positions 524 to 776 of the family's 1533-position model. The record is from RNAcentral.
UACGAAGGGUGCAAACGUUGCUCGGAAUUAUUGGGCGUAAAGCGCACGUAGGCGGCUCAGCAAGUCGGAUGUGAAAGCCCACGGCUCAACCGUGGAAGUGCAUCCGAAACUGCUGAGCUUGAGUACUUAAGAGGAUCGCGGAAUUCCCGGUGUAGAGGUGAAAUUCGUAGAUAUCGGGAGGAACACCAGUGGCGAAGGCGGCGAUCUGGGAAGAUACUGACGCUGAGGUGACGAAAGCGGUGGGAGCAAACAGG